Molecule: ribosomal RNA, 74 nt
Filed under: Rhodospirillaceae bacterium
Lineage: Bacteria; Pseudomonadati; Pseudomonadota; Alphaproteobacteria; Rhodospirillales; Rhodospirillaceae
Description: partial 16S ribosomal RNA
Rfam family: Bacterial small subunit ribosomal RNA
Source: RNAcentral
AAAGAUUGAACUGAAGAGUUUGAUCCUGGCUCAGAUUGAACGCUGGCGGUAUGCUUAACACAUGCAAGUCGAAC